This 387-nucleotide ribosomal RNA is filed under the name Syndiniales sp. Its description in RNAcentral is "partial small subunit ribosomal RNA". It matches the Rfam family "Eukaryotic small subunit ribosomal RNA", at positions 582 to 975 of the family's 1831-position model. Lineage: Eukaryota; Dinophyceae; Syndiniales. The record is from RNAcentral.
AUUCCAGCUCCAAUAGCGUAUAUUAAAGUUGUUGCGGUUAAAAAGCUCGUAGUUGGAUUUCUGUUGAGGAAGUCCGGUCCGCACUUUGUGCGUGAUCUGGUUCUGCCUCGGCAUCCUCGCGGGGAACGCGCUGCGCUUGAUUGCGUGGUGCGGUAUUCGCGACUUUUACUUUGAGGAAAUUAGAGUGUUCACGGCAGGCUAUCGCCUUGAAUACGUUAGCAUGGAAUAAUAAUAUAGGACCUUGGUUCUAUUUUGUUGGUUUCUAGAACUAAGGUAAUGAUUAAUAGGGAUAAUUGGGGGCAUUUGUAUUAACACGUCAGAGGUGAAAUUCUUGGAUUGUGUUACGACAAACUACUGCGAAAGCAUUUGCCAAGGAUGUUUUCAUUG